CCAAUAUACAUGCUUUAUGUAUUUUACAGAUAUAUAUUAUCUUAAAGAGCUGAACGGCAUCAUCUUGAUUGUUUGAAUCUAUAGAACAACUUGUGAACUUCAUCAUCUAGCCACCAAGGGAUCAAGGAUUGAUGUUGAAUCAUGGUGAAGAGAAGAAGAAAUGAUACGUAUUCUUUUAGAAGAAAGAGACAGAAUGAUCAACCUCAAACUACAGGAGUUGCUGAGUUGCUGCUAUUGGCAUUGCUAGAGCAAGUAACCAAAGAGUCCUCUCCAUGAGCUCAGUGAUGCAAAAGGAAUAAUUGAGUUCAACAACGGUGACCUAGAACUAAUGAAGAUGGGAUUGGUGGUGCUUAAUAUGUUUAAAGCAUCGACUCCCUGCAGACCCACAAGCACAGCGGUGAUGAAGAAGAAUAAUAACAACUGAACUAACACCACAUGGACUACUGUGUGUGGGGGGGAAGGAGCUAGAACAUGGAUUUCAAAUGUUGAAGAGUUGAAGAUCCCUUUUCAAAUGCUCAAUAUUCAUAUACACUACCUUAAAUGGUUCCUGAGCUGCUAAAUGGCAGUAACAAUAAAGUCUCAGAAAAGUCUUCUUUUUUUGUUGACAUGACCCAUUUCUCCAUAACCGGUUGCUACAAUUUAGAUGUGAAGAAUCAGGUUGAGAUUAGUGCUGGAUAUCCAUAAUAUUUAGAAGCAGUAGACUGAACGGAGUUAAAGAUGAAGAGAAAGAAUAAGGGUUCAAAUGAUCUUUCCACAAAGAGCUCAGAUCUUUUUAUACUUGAGGGAUUUGUUAUUUAACUAGAGUCCAGCCAAAAGAAGUGCAAUGUACUAGCAGGGGCAUCUCACCAGUAGAUUGCGAGCUGCCUUCUGUCAUUAUUUAAAUUAAAACUAAUGUAUGCUUACAGCUGGCGAUAUAUAUAUAUAUAUAUAU
Long non-coding RNA from Prosopis cineraria, 931 nucleotides. RefSeq lists it as uncharacterized. The record is from RefSeq and is a predicted model, not a curated record. The transcript is spliced from 8 exons. Lineage: Eukaryota; Viridiplantae; Streptophyta; Magnoliopsida; Fabales; Fabaceae.